GACGAACGCUGGCGGCGUGCUUAACACAUGCAAGUCGAACGGAAAGGCCCUGCUUGCCGGGUACUCGAGUGGCGAACGGGUGAGUAACACGUGGGUGAUCUGCCCUGCACUUCGGGAUAAGCCUGGGAAACUGGGUCUAAUACCGGAUAGGAGCCAUUUUUAGUGUGAUGGUUGGAAAGUUUUUUCGGUGUAGGAUGAGCUCGCGGCCUAUCAGCUUGUUGGUGGGGUAAUGGCCUACCAAGGCGGCGACGGGUAGCCGGCCUGAGAGGGUGGACGGCCACAUUGGGACUGAGAUACGGCCCAGACGCCUACGGGAGGCAGCAGGGGGGAAUAUUGCACAAUGGGCGCAAGCCUGAUGCAGCGACGCCGCGUGGGGGAUGACGGCCUUCGGGUUGUAAACUCCUUUCGCUAGGGACGAAGCUUUUUGUGACGGUACCUAGAUAAGAAGCACCGGCUAACUACGUG
RNAcentral lists this ribosomal RNA (465 nucleotides) under uncultured bacterium. RNAcentral describes it as "partial 16S ribosomal RNA". It matches the Rfam family "Bacterial small subunit ribosomal RNA", at positions 28 to 507 of the family's 1533-position model. The record is from RNAcentral.